Molecule: non-coding RNA, 453 nt
Organism: Vigna umbellata (rice bean)
Lineage: Eukaryota; Viridiplantae; Streptophyta; Magnoliopsida; Fabales; Fabaceae
Source: RefSeq, a predicted model, not a curated record
CUGUUUUUUUUUUCCUUAAUUGCAGGAUGCAACAAUUGAGCAACUUCUUCCUAUUUUCCUUUCCCUUUUGAAGGACGAAUUUCCUGAUGUGCGCCUAAAUAUCAUAAGCAAGCUUGAUCAAGUGAAUCAGGUGAUUGGAAUUGAUUUAUUAUCUCAAUCUUUGUUACCAGCCAUUGUUGAGCUUGCUGAGGAUAGGCAUUGGAGGGUUCGACUUGCAAUAAUAGAAUAUAUACCCUUAUUGGCGAGUCAAUUGGGUGUUGGUUUUUUUGAUGAUAAGCUUGGUGCUCUUUGCAUGCAGUGGUUGCAGGACAAGGUUCAUCAAUCCGUGAGGCAGCAGCUAACAACUUGAAGCGCCUAGCUGAAGAAUUUGGUCCUGAGUGGGCUAUGCAAAACAUAAUUCCACAGGUUCGUAUCUUGGCUUUAAAUUCUUAUUUUAGGACAAUACACUAUGCC